Molecule: long non-coding RNA, 379 nt
Filed under: Fukomys damarensis (Damara mole-rat)
Lineage: Eukaryota; Metazoa; Chordata; Mammalia; Rodentia; Bathyergidae
Description: lncRNA (ENSFDAG00000027736.1)
Source: RNAcentral
GAAAGGAUCAUUUGGGAGUCAUUCCAGUGGAGAACAGUGACCUUGGACAAGUCAAUUCUCGGUUUGGGAUUCUGAGGGCAACGUUCUGGCUCUGGAUCCCGCCUGCAUUCCAGGAACUGGGUCAGCUGCUCUGGCCUGGAGGUCUGUCUGAAGGGCUCUGAGGAGCAUUUAGGGGCAGAAUGGCAGGGACAGAGUCAGCAAGAAGAGCAAACAUCCAUGUCCCCCAUUCGAUGCUUUCCUCUGAGAUAUUGCCCAUCUAACCAUCUCCAGCCUCCUCUCAUCUUUACUCUUCCUCUUGGAUGUCAUGAAUGGUCUGCUGUUCCCUCUCUCCUGCCUAUCUGCCUCCUCUGGAGUCCACACUCUGAGGCUAUGUGCCCAC